This 72-nucleotide transfer RNA is filed under the name Ovis aries (sheep). It matches the Rfam family "tRNA". From Rfam's summary of the family: Transfer RNA (tRNA) molecules are approximately 80 nucleotides in length. Their secondary structure includes four short double-helical elements and three loops (D, anti-codon, and T loops). The record is from Rfam by way of RNAcentral. Lineage: Eukaryota; Metazoa; Chordata; Mammalia; Artiodactyla; Bovidae.
UCCCUGGUAGCUCAGAUGGUAAAGCUUCUGCCUGCAAUGCAGGAGACCCGGGUUCGAACCCUUGGUUGGGAA